RNAcentral lists this ribosomal RNA (469 nucleotides) under uncultured bacterium. RNAcentral's name for it is "bacterial SSU rRNA". It matches the Rfam family "Bacterial small subunit ribosomal RNA", at positions 28 to 491 of the family's 1533-position model. The record is from RNAcentral.
GAUGAACGCUAGCGGCAGGCUUAACACAUGCAAGUCGAGGGGCAGCACGGGUAGCAAUACCUGGUGGCGACCGGCGCAAGGGUGCGUAACGCGUGAGCAACAUGCCCUAUACAGGGGGAUAAUCCAGGGAAACUUGGUCUAAUAUCCCAUAGUAUUUAGAGGAGGCAUCUUCUAUAAAUUAAAGCUUCGGUGGUAUAGGAUUGGCUCGCGUGACAUUAGCUAGAUGGUGAGGUAACGGCUCACCAUGGCAAUGAUGUCUAGGGGUUCUGAGAGGAAGGCCCCCCACACUGGGACUGAGACACGGCCCAGACUCCUACGGGAGGCAGCAGUGAGGAAUAUUGGACAAUGGAUGGAAAUCUGAUCCAGCCAUGCCGCGUGCAGGAAGACAGCCCUAUGGGUUGUAAACUGCUUUUAUAUGGGAGCAAUAAGGUCUAACGUGUAGACUGAUGAGAGUACCAUAUGAAUAAGC